UUUAAAUUGAGAGUUUGAUCCUGGCUCAGGAUGAACGCUGGUGGCGUGCCUAAUACAUGCAAGUCGUACGCUAGCCGCUGAAUUGAUCCUUCGGGUGAAGUGAGGCAAUGACUAGAGUGGCGAACUGGUGAGUAACACGUAAGAAACCUGCCCUUUAGUGGGGGAUAACAUUUGGAAACAGAUGCUAAUACCGCGUAACAACAAAUCACACAUGUGAUCUGUUUGAAAGGUCCUUUUGGAUCGCUAGAGGAUG
This 253-nucleotide ribosomal RNA is filed under the name Oenococcus oeni. RNAcentral describes it as "partial 16S ribosomal RNA". It matches the Rfam family "Bacterial small subunit ribosomal RNA", at positions 1 to 227 of the family's 1533-position model. Lineage: Bacteria; Bacillati; Bacillota; Bacilli; Lactobacillales; Lactobacillaceae. The record is from RNAcentral.